CCAGACUCCUACGGGAGGCAGCAGUGAGGAAUAUUGGUCAAUGGGCGGGAGCCUGAACCAGCCAAGCCGCGUGAAGGAAGAAGGCGCCAGGCGUCGUAAACUUCUUUUGUCGGGGAACAAAGGGCGCCACGUGUGGCGUUGUGAGUGUACCCGAAGAAAAAGCAUCGGCUAACUCCGUGCCAGCAGCCGCGGUAAUACGUAGGUGGCAAGCGUUGUCCGGAUUUACUGGGUGUAAAGGGCGUGUAGCCGGGCCGGCAAGUCAGAUGUGAAAUCCCAAGGCUCAACCUUGGAACUGCAUUUGAAACUGUUGGUCUUGAGUAUCGGAGAGGCAGGCGGAAUUCCUAGUGUAGCGGUGAAAUGCGUAGAUAUUAGGAGGAACACCAGUGGCGAAGGCGGCCUGCUGGACGACAACUGACGGUGAGGCGCGAAAGCGUGGGGAGCAAACAGGAUUAGAUACCCUCGUA
This 464-nucleotide ribosomal RNA is filed under the name uncultured bacterium. Its description in RNAcentral is "bacterial SSU rRNA". It matches the Rfam family "Bacterial small subunit ribosomal RNA", at positions 331 to 792 of the family's 1533-position model. The record is from RNAcentral.